GCGUGACUCCAUGCUUCAACAAAAAAAUAGCUAUCGUGAUGUCUUGGUUCUCGAAUAUGUCGAUAACACACAUUGGUGCACACUGAUUCUCCACAUAAUCCAGUACUUUCUUAUCAACCUUGACGUCUUCCGCUGUUAUCUCGUUCAUGAGGGCCCUCAGUUUCUCAAAAUUCUUCUGGCAGAGCUUGAAUCCAUUACUUUCACGUCCGGCGAAUGUUUUCAGUGCUUGUUUCCAGAGAAUUUCCAUUUUCGAAGACAUUAGGGAGAUAACGUUUUUUCAAUUAUCAAUUAUAUUGUUUUGUUGUUUUGAAAAAAAAAUUACUGAGAUGUUGUCCUUACACACAGCUGUUUUAGACGGUCGGUUGGUAUUGUUUGAUUGUUGUUUGAUUGUGAGGGGGACUUUCUAACCUCAACUGCGAGAAAAUACACUUUUUCCAUCAAUUUUGUUUGUUUGCAAAUAUUUUGCAAAGUUUAGAUAACACUGUGACUUUUUAUCAUUUAAAAGUGGAUUUAGAUAGGUUUGAUUAUUAUUAUUUCCGGUGUGUGCUUUAUAUCAGUCACAGCCACAGUUGGAUUUGUUGACACUCGGAUUAUGCCCUGCUCUGCUAAGGUGUGAAUCUCAAAGCCCCCCAACACUGUGAUAUAUAUUAUUACAUAUAAGAGGCUGACACUGUGUGCGGAAUGUUGGGUGGGGGAAUUUAAAUAAAUUCCUUCAAUCUCCUUCUCAUUAUGGCUACUUGACAGUUUCAUUAACAAUGCACAAAAAUAUAAUCAAAGAAACUCCAAUCGAGCAUUGAAGAGUAUUGUAUAUAACAUAAACCCAACUAUCAAUUUUUACAGUGUAUGUACAUAAACAACUUCCAGAAUAAUCAAUCGAUCAAGAGUUUAGGCAGCAUUCUCACAAGCUCGAAGUAGAAACAGCAUAGCAUAAAACUUAUAAUUCACACAAGUACAAGGUAAAUGCAGUAUAUAAAUAAAUAUUUCAACAACAAUCUCAUGAUGAGUGAAAUUAUUUUUUACAUAGCCUAAAUAACUCAUUGAAAAUUAUCGAUUAAUGGAAGAGAAAAAUUUCACCUUUUCUUCAAUCCUUAUGGUAAGAUUGUGCGAUGCAUUUUUUAUACGUCAACUAUUAUUGAAUCUAUUGCCUUGAGAGUAAUUGGUGCAAUUAGUAUUUUCUGAUUAAUUUUCAUUGUUGAUAAAUAGCACUUACUGUGAUUUCUGUGAAGAAAUGUUGAAGACAAAUAAAAAUAACAUUUAUCCAAUUGUUCUUUUCUUUUCCUUGAAGAGAAUACAGUUUGAGAUUAAUUGAUGAUUAAUUUAUUCCUGAGUUUAUUGAGGUGGAUAUUUAAGUGGUUUGAUAUUUAAGAGAAAAAAAAAAAAUACCCACCUCAAGUGGGCCUCCCCUAUUUUAGCCAUCAAAUAUAGAGAGAAAAAAAUAAUUACAACUUGAUCAUCGCCAAUACAGACAUUUUCUUUGACUUCAACAUUUCUUAAAAUGUGGAAUUGGUGCCAGUUAUAGCAUAGCCAUGAAAGAGAUUCUCUAUAAAAAGUUGCAAAAUUGUUCUUCUAGUUCUAGUUUAAAAUGUGCAGUAGGUAAAUCAACUUGUCCAAUUAAUUGUAUCUCCAAUCUCUCACAUUAUUAUUCCUAUUACAAUUUAAUUUGGCGGCUAUUGAACAACUACUAAAUAGUUGUAUUAGUUGAAGAGUGCCAGAGAGUGGUAUAAGUGUUGCAAUUUUUUUCAAGCAUUCAUGGCGGACGGAUGGCCAGGUGAGAAAUAUAUGGUGUAUAAAGCGAAAGAUUUUCAUUGUUUGAACGGUUUUGAAGAAUGACAAGGGCUACUUUCAACGAUUAAUUCUCUAUGAAUUUAUAAUGAUUUUUUCAUUAUAAUUCCCUAGGUUUCAACAGCCAUGUACUAUCUUUUAAAAUAUAGUUGAAGAUUCAAGGUAAUCUUAAGAAGCGAGCCGACCAAUUUUUCAAGCGUAUAAAAUAGAUUUUUAAAAUUUUUAUCUUAAUCUGCCCAACGGCUACUGUGACCCAAAAACGAAUGAUAAUGGAAGUUUAUGGGUUACUGAGAGACUGAUGAUUAUAAUGAUGUUUUGAUGCAGAGAGGUAACGUGAAUAUGGCCCCUUUGCAACACUGUCCCAUAAUCAAGACUCCGCUGGAUAAACAAACAUUGGCAAAGAUAAAUAUUCAUUUUGCAGAUAUGAGAUAAUUGACACUGACAAUAUGAGAAUAAUGUCAAUGACUUGUUUGCCUCAAAGGAAAAGUUCUCCAUUGAUUUCGAUGUAUUAUUAAUAAUAAAUUUACUCUACACUCUA
Molecule: long non-coding RNA, 2320 nt
Organism: Diachasma alloeum
Lineage: Eukaryota; Metazoa; Arthropoda; Insecta; Hymenoptera; Braconidae
Exons: 4
Source: RefSeq, a predicted model, not a curated record